RNAcentral lists this long non-coding RNA (299 nucleotides) under Elaeis guineensis (African oil palm). Its description in RNAcentral is "long non-coding RNA (EGUI_LNC006710)". Lineage: Eukaryota; Viridiplantae; Streptophyta; Magnoliopsida; Arecales; Arecaceae. The record is from RNAcentral.
CUGACUUGAUUUACAUAAUAAAUUUAUAAAUUAUAUUAAUUCUAGAUAAUAAAUAUUUUUGUGGUUACGAUGGGAGCCACUUAGCAUCCUCUUCCUACUAAUGUGCCAAAAUUUUCUCGAGGGUGCAUACAUUGUUUAGCUUGGAUUCGAAUUGUAUGUUUCAUAUAAAAUAAUGGUUGAUUUCCUUUCGUAACAUUUAUUAUUAGAUUAUUCAAUGCAUAGAUCUCGAAGCAUUUCGAAUGUUUUUAUUCAUAUAUCUAUAUAGAUUUUACUGUAUAUUUGGCUGAGGUCAUGAGAGG